This 593-nucleotide long non-coding RNA is filed under the name Pongo abelii (Sumatran orangutan). RNAcentral's name for it is "lincRNA". Lineage: Eukaryota; Metazoa; Chordata; Mammalia; Primates; Hominidae. The record is from RNAcentral.
CCAGAGGCUGGGUCUAAUUAGUUGAGAAGCAGUGACACCCCCAACCACUCCCCAAACAGGCUGGCUCCCAUCUCCAGGCCCCAAGGAGCCACACCUGGACCAGACCCCAGGAAAGACAUGUGGUGGAAACCCUAGGGCCCUGGAUCCCAAGGAGAGCAAGGGCUGUAACAAGUGCACAGGCAAGGGCACUAGCUAGUGGGAGCCACCCCUGCUACGCUGAUGCUGGAGAAGCAAGAACUCUGGAGAAGCAGCCUCCUGGGACCAGAGGGGGGCCAGCAGCAGGCAGCUCGGCUACAGAACUCUCACCCACGCCUCUCCAAGCCUCCCGACAGAAGACAGAGGUCCCCCACAGCCCAGAGACAUUUCCUGAAGACAUGGGGACCACAGAGGCAGAAACAGCCCAUCCACCCAGGAGCUGCCCCCCACGCUGCCGGGAGCCAGCACCCAGAGCCGCCAGAUAAAACUGAGGCCACCUGGUUCAACAUUGCCUUUCACAGAAGGGGAAACAGCCACAGAAAGAAGGGCCUGGUAAGAAGUGGAACCUGGGACCCCCAAGCGGUGUCUCUCAUCCUGACUGGGGAUCCAGAGUAGGA